This 274-nucleotide ribosomal RNA is filed under the name uncultured bacterium. RNAcentral describes it as "partial 16S ribosomal RNA". It matches the Rfam family "Bacterial small subunit ribosomal RNA", at positions 523 to 796 of the family's 1533-position model. The record is from RNAcentral.
AUACGGAGGGUGCAAGCGUUGUCCGGAUUUAUUGGGUUUAAAGGGUGUGUAGGCGGUGUAUUAAGUCAGUGGUGAAAGCCUGCGGCUCAACCGUAGAACUGCCAUUGAUACUGACACACUCGAGUAUGGACGAGGUAGGCGGAAUUUAUGGUGUAGCGGUGAAAUGCAUAGAUACCAUAAAGAACACCGAUAGCGAAGGCAGCUUACUAGGCCAUAACUGACGCUGAGGCACGAAAGCGUGGGGAGCGAACAGGAUUAGAAACCCUAGUAGUCC